UAAAUUGUUGUUUUAAAUAUAACAGUACACGUCAAACGGCACUCUUCCUUCGUUAAUCUCUCUGUAACCUGUAGACUCUGUAAUUCUCAAGGAGAAGUUGAGUUCGAAGGCGCUUCUUUUCGAAUCUUUUUGUGUCUCUCAGGCAACAGCAGAGGAUUUGGCAAGGAAUAGAGGACAAGUUCUCUCUAUUUAUCGCUAGAUAUUGCGGAGCAUCAACUCCCCAAAGCUGCCUCUCGCUUUUGAAGCAAGAUUGGCUAAGAAAGCAGAGAUUCGUGCUAUCUUCAUGUUGGCUUCUGAAGAGACAUCCCUACAUAACAUUGAUGACCUAAUUGACACUACUGAGUACUCUCUUUCCCUUCUAAGAAAAGGUGAAAUUCUCAAAUACAUACAAUGAGGUCAACUGGUUUGUUGGAGUAAAUCAUAUCUUGAGGGGUCAAGGUAUGGUAGAGCAAGACUUGCAUCUUUUGGUGUGAAGAUAAUACUGGGGGGCUGAUUUGUAUUCAAUGUCAAAGAUUGCGUUUUCUUCAUAAGAUGUGCUGCAAAGAAUUUGUAUCUAUGAAAAAAAUUGGUGUGGGGCUAGAGAAUUCGCGGCCCAGGCCCACUCUACAUUAGGGCCCAAGGCCCAAGCCAAGGAGAGCCAUUGCUGAGGACGCAUAAUGAAAUCCCAAAAGGAGCAUAAGAAUAUUGCCGAGGACGAUCUCAUGCUCAGCACCUCACGAAAUGCCUGAAGAAAGGGGCAAACUCAGUGUAGGGGCAGGGCAGGGCAAGGGAAAAAGCUGCUAACAUCAUAAUACAAAACCCUGUAUCUGACAAGCCCAUACUCUAAACCAUGCCCUUUAACUUUCCCAACGACCCCUAACCACUCUAGGUAUGGGUUGACAGGACAGGUCUGCACCCUAGAAAGUAAAACUUACACGUGGACCCUAAAGGGGGAAACGAACACUAGUAUAAAAGGGUAAACCCCCAGGAAGAAAGGAGGGGGAUCCCGGUGAAAGGGAGAAAAGGAAGGAUACAAGGCUCCUCGGACGCCGUCUGAGGACUUAAGUCCUACAACCCGUACCAAUGAAGGGCUUAGCUAGUCAAGCCAAGCCCGCCCAUAUAAGAGCUUCCAUAGAAACCACAAUUAAACCGCUCACCUGUGCCCAAGGUCAUGCCUUUCAAGUCCACUCUCUACAAAUCAUAUUGUUGGGGCCCUUUGCAUGCGAGCCCAACGUCAUUCAUGGGUCGUUACAAAUCGUGUCCUACAAUUGGCGCUGUCUGUGGGAAGGCUUGCGUGUUGGUGCAGGUGGCGGUGGAGUCAAGUCUCUAUCAAGCAGAGGUCCGCGAAGUUUCCUCCAUUUCUAGCAACAUGUAGUUGUUGUUCCGACAUAAACUUCCGCUAGGGGCUACGCCUUGCAGCGUUAAUGGCACGGGAAGCUCUAGGUGCUUCCAACCUCAAGCUAACUCUCCCCACCUGUUGAGGGGCUAACCUUCGAAAAGUAAAUAAAUAAAUACAAAGAAAAACUACUUAAAGAAAAUAUACAAGUUUUGGACAGAACCAAGGCCUUGUAUGGUUCUCGGACUUAAGCCUAUGGGGAAACCAACU
Long non-coding RNA from Quercus robur (English oak), 1585 nucleotides. RefSeq lists it as uncharacterized. The record is from RefSeq and is a predicted model, not a curated record. NCBI's taxonomy places the organism in Eukaryota, Viridiplantae, Streptophyta, Magnoliopsida, Fagales, Fagaceae. The transcript is spliced from 3 exons.